RNAcentral lists this long non-coding RNA (708 nucleotides) under Trifolium pratense (red clover). RNAcentral's name for it is "long non-coding RNA (TPRA_LNC009512)". The record is from RNAcentral. Lineage: Eukaryota; Viridiplantae; Streptophyta; Magnoliopsida; Fabales; Fabaceae.
UAAACAUGAAUACAAAAUAUCAUUCAAAAAUAUGAAAGUAUACAAGAGUUUGAUUAAAAGUAUGGGCUAAAAACACUAACGAAAAAAACUUCAGGAAUAAAAAGUACGAAAAAAAUCUUUAGUGACUAAACAAAAUUCUGGGAAACUAUAAAGACAAAAAACAUAUUUAACCAUUAUUAUUAUUAUUAUUAUUAUUAUUAUUAUUAUUAUUAUUAUUAUUAUUAUUAUUAUACCAAAUACAUAUGUCUUUUGAUUAAUGAUUAUUACUCUCUCUGUCCCAAAACUUUAGUCCUUUUCGAGUUUUGCACAGAGAUUAAGAAAUAAUAAAGAUUAAUAAGUUAAGUCACUUUUACCCUUACUUUAUUAAGAAAGAGAAAAAUAUAAUUUAAUUAACGUUUUAGAUUUAGUAAGGGUACAAAUGGUAAAACAUCACUAAUUAUACAUUAAUUUCUUAAAAGGACUAAAAAUUGGGACAAAAUUAAAAAGGUAAAAAGACCAAAGAUUUGAGACGGAUGGAGUAUGAUUUUGGCUUUACAAGAUCCACCACAGCUUAAAAUACAACAUAUGACAUAUCUUUCUUUGAAAAAUUUAGUCUUUUUAUUUUAACAAAUUUACUCUUUUUAGAUCACACAAUCCGGACAUAAUUUGUCCGGAUUGUACAUUUAGAACGCAUAUAGUUAAUAUUUAUUGCUCAUGUCAUAAUUGUGA